UCGAGAAUUUUUCACAAUGGGCGCAAGCCUGAUGGAGCGACGCCGCGUGGGGGAUGAAGGGCUUCGGCUCGUAAACCCCUGUCAUUUGCGAACAAACCUUGAAGGUAAAUAGCCUUUAAGCUGAUUGUAGCGAAAGAGGAAGGGACGGCUAACUCUGUGCCAGCAGCCGCGGUAAUACAGAGGUCCCGAGCGUUGUUCGGAUUCACUGGGCGUAAAGGGUGCGUAGGUGGUGGGGUAAGUCUCGUGUGAAAGCUCGCAGCUUAACUGCGAAAAGUCACGGGAUACUAUUCCGCUGGAGGCUUGGAGGGGGGACUGGAAUACUUGGUGUAGCAGUGAAAUGCGUAGAUAUCAAGUGGAACACCAGUGGCGAAGGCGAGUCCCUGGACAAGACCUGACACUGAGGCACGAAAGCCAGGGGAGCAAACAG
This 427-nucleotide ribosomal RNA is filed under the name uncultured bacterium. RNAcentral's name for it is "bacterial SSU rRNA". It matches the Rfam family "Bacterial small subunit ribosomal RNA", at positions 355 to 775 of the family's 1533-position model. The record is from RNAcentral.